CCUUUACAGUGUAAAUCGUUCGUGAGCACAUACCAAGUACGCAUCUACUCAAAAAAUUUGGUACCAGCUCGCGGGAUUUGAACAUCGUGGU
This is a non-coding RNA of Bombyx mori (domestic silkworm), 91 nucleotides long. The record is from RefSeq and is marked provisional. Lineage: Eukaryota; Metazoa; Arthropoda; Insecta; Lepidoptera; Bombycidae.